GAUGAAGAACGCAGCGAAAUGCGAUACUUGGUGUGAAUUGCAGAAUCCCGUGAACCAUCGAGUCUUUGAACGCAAGUUGCGCCCGAAGCCAUUAGGCCGAGGGCACGCCUGCCUGGGCGUCACACGUCGUUGCCCCCCCAUCUACUCCUUCGGGAUUGCGGGGGGCGGAUGAUGGCCUCCCGUGCGCCUCGCCGCGCGGUUGGCAUAAAUGCCAAGUCCUCGGCGACGCACGCCACGACAAUCGGUGGUUGCGAAACCUCGGUUGCCGUCGUGUGCGGUCGUCGCGCAUCGAGGGCUCGAAAAAAUUGCCGGGUUCCGGCUCGGCUUUCAACGCGACCCCAGGUCAGGCGGGGUUACCCGCUGAAUUUAAGCAUAUCAAUAAGCGGAGGA
Molecule: unclassified non-coding RNA, 390 nt
Filed under: soil metagenome
Description: partial contains 5.8S ribosomal RNA, internal transcribed spacer 2, and large subunit ribosomal RNA
Rfam family: 5.8S ribosomal RNA (bases 1-122)
Source: RNAcentral